GGGGCUGUAGCCCCUGUGUUUUUUUCCAAAUUAUUGUCCUUGAAACAGGCUCCAUUCCUAUUUUGGAGAGCAUAUUCUGCCCCCGUUCUACUCAAGAUUCCCCUGAGAAGGAGCCAGUAGCAGGAAGAAAAAAAAGGCAGUUAAUAUACACGGAAAACAUGAGAGUUAUUUGAGAUGUUUGCUUUUUUAGAAAAAAAGAAUGAAAAUAUCUGCUUUUGCUGCUCCUCCUGCUACUGCUCCUGCUCCUGUUGUGGCUCAGCCAAUGCAACUAUUCUAUUCUGUUCUAUUCUAGCUUGGUAUUUAACAAGCCUUUUGUCCCCAUAAAGAGCAAUCACAGGAGGAGGAAGAGGAAGAGGAAGAGGAGGACGAGGAGCUCACAAAGUGAUGUAAGAGAGAAAUGCAGGGGCUUGAAAAUGAAAGCAACUGGUACCACCACCACCACCACCACAUUCAACAGUUUGCAAAACGCAAGCUUUUUUGCCAUUCAUUCAUCCAUCCAUGACUAGCACACAUCCAUUCAGCCCCCACCCAAACAGCCAAAGGGAAUAAGUAACUAUUCCUCCUCCAGGAGGGAAAAUCUUUUUUGGGGAGGCCAGAGCGGACUCACACAGGAUUCGAACUCCAGACCACCUUGGAACAGACUGGGUUUGUUGGUUUUCUCUUUUAAAUCACUGCAAAGCAAAAGAAAGACGAAUAAGAAAAAAACAAAAAGGAAAUAUUACACACACACAGGAUAGACUAGAGAGAAUGUGCUGUGUCUACUAGUGGUGUUAUUCUGGGAGAAGGAAGGAACGAAUUCAAGGAAAGAGAGUGUUGCGAGAGGAAGAAAAAUGGAGAGUAGCAGCCGCAGCAUGAGCCAGCGGCAGCUAGCAGCAAAGCAGCAGCAAACAGAUCUAGAGAAGUAGAUCUACCUUUGUUGUUGUUGCAUUCGCCUCCUCCUCGAAUGCGUUUUUUGCGCUGCUGCUGAAAGCUCCGCUUGCUUCCAUCUGCUUGUUGGCUUGCACAUAACACGGCGUUCCUUUGUUUUGUCCUCGUCGUCUCCGUCGUCUCGAGGGCUGUGGAGAGCAGUUUGCCGAUAGUUAGCACCCGCAAGGAAGCAGAAAAAGAUCAAUCCUCUCUUCUCCUCUCUCACUCACUCACUGGUGCACAACACACAACACACACAUACACGCUGCUCGUAGCCAGCGCAAGGAUAAAGAAGUUAAAAACAGUUUGGUGUUUACCUGGAGAUUCGUCGUUCAUUGUUUUCGCUUUUGCUCUUACUCCUGCUCCUCUUCCUCCUCCUCUUUCCGUUUGGUUGAGCUGAUCAAG
RNAcentral lists this long non-coding RNA (1311 nucleotides) under Selaginella moellendorffii. RNAcentral describes it as "long non-coding RNA (SMOE_LNC001899)". Lineage: Eukaryota; Viridiplantae; Streptophyta; Lycopodiopsida; Selaginellales; Selaginellaceae. The record is from RNAcentral.